ACCUGGACAAGGCUACUUAACG
Molecule: microRNA, 22 nt
Filed under: Daphnia pulex (common water flea)
Lineage: Eukaryota; Metazoa; Arthropoda; Branchiopoda; Diplostraca; Daphniidae
Description: Dpu-Mir-252-P1_3p* (star (passenger))
Source: RNAcentral